UAGGUGAUAGUUCAACUGGAAGAAUACUUGCUAGUCGCAAGAGACUGCGGGUUCGAGUCCCGCACACCAUACAA
Molecule: transfer RNA, 74 nt
Filed under: Flavobacterium reichenbachii
Lineage: Bacteria; Pseudomonadati; Bacteroidota; Flavobacteriia; Flavobacteriales; Flavobacteriaceae
Description: tRNA-Thr
Rfam family: tRNA
About the family: Transfer RNA (tRNA) molecules are approximately 80 nucleotides in length.
Source: RNAcentral